Molecule: ribosomal RNA, 189 nt
Filed under: uncultured bacterium
Lineage: Bacteria
Description: partial 16S ribosomal RNA
Rfam family: Bacterial small subunit ribosomal RNA
Source: RNAcentral
CCUACGGGAGGCAGCAGUAAGGAAUAUUGGGCAAUGGACGAAAGUCUGACCCAGCCAUGCCGCGUGGAGGAUGAAGGUCCUCUGGAUUGUAAACUUCUUUUAUCUGGGAAGAAAUCUACGGUUUCCACUGUAGUUGACGGUACCAGAUGAAUAAGCACCGGCUAACUCCGUGCCAGCAGCCGCGGUAAU